Molecule: non-coding RNA, 87 nt
Organism: Xylariaceae sp. FL0016
Lineage: Eukaryota; Fungi; Ascomycota; Sordariomycetes; Xylariales; Xylariaceae
Source: the annotation of a GenBank genome assembly
UCCCCUGUGGCGCAAUGGCUAGCGCGUCUGACUGUUACAAGCAAUAAAUACAUCAGGAGGUUGACAGUUCGAGCCUGUCCGGGGGAG